CCUACGGGAGGGCAGCAGUGGGGAAUAUUGGACAAUGGGCGAAAGCCUGAUCCAGCCAUGCCGCGUGUGUGAAGAAGGCCUUCGGGUUGUAAAGCACUUUCAGUGGGGAAGAAAGCCUUGGGGCUAAUACCCUCGAGGAAGGACAUCACCCACAGAAGAAGCACCGGCUAACUCCGUGCCAGCAGCCGCGGUAAUACGGAGGGUGCGAGCGUUAAUCGGAAUUACUGGGCGUAAAGCGCGCGUAGGCGGUCUGAUAAGCCGGUUGUGAAAGCCCCGGGCUCAACCUGGGAACGGCAUCCGGAACUGUCAGGCUAGAGUGCAGGAGAGGAAGGUAGAAUUCCCGGUGUAGCAGUGAAAUGCGUAGAGAUCGGGAGGAAUACCAGUGGCGAAGGCGGCCUUCUGGACUGACACUGACGCUGAGGUGCGAAAGCGUGGGUAGCGAACAGGAUUAGAUACCCCGGUAGUC
This 466-nucleotide ribosomal RNA is filed under the name Vreelandella stevensii. Its description in RNAcentral is "partial 16S ribosomal RNA". It matches the Rfam family "Bacterial small subunit ribosomal RNA", at positions 338 to 795 of the family's 1533-position model. The record is from RNAcentral. Lineage: Bacteria; Pseudomonadati; Pseudomonadota; Gammaproteobacteria; Oceanospirillales; Halomonadaceae.